Long non-coding RNA from Ictidomys tridecemlineatus (thirteen-lined ground squirrel), 2345 nucleotides. RefSeq lists it as uncharacterized. NCBI's taxonomy places the organism in Eukaryota, Metazoa, Chordata, Mammalia, Rodentia, Sciuridae. The record is from RefSeq and is a predicted model, not a curated record.
ACAUGAUGUCGUUCUGACACUGCAGGGGUAGCCUGUUUUCCCUCUUUCUGCCUAUAUAAUACAUCACAAACAAGGAGCAGAAAUAGGGCAACAGAAUUCUGUGUUCCCAGAAACGCCGGAGAGGGAGGGUAAAAGGAAGUAAAAUUACAGUAAUUUAGAUUCUCUUCAAAAACUCCAGUCCUGUCUCAACUCAGAGCACAAGGCCAUGGGGCACCUCUCUGUAGAGUCCCUAGGUGCAUCGGAGUGCUGGAUGGCAGGGAGGGAGGCAGGACACAGCAUGGAGCUGAGGUAUGGAAGGCUGAAGAACUGCUCUCAAAUCCGCUGCCUGCUGGCUCCGGGACAGGGCACUGCCUUGGCUGGGUUCCAGCUCUGCCGCCACUGGGUUUUGCUGCCUGACCUAUGGGGCUUUUUCCCACCCCUCUCCUUCCAGGUGCAGUAACAAAAAUUUGUUCUCAGCUUCUACUCUGCUCACUUUUUAUUCUUUGCCUUAUUUUUUUCUUUCCACAUUUCUUUUUAUUGGUGCAUUACAAUUGUACAUAAUGAUGGGCUUUGUUGUUGCAUAUUCAUACAUUAUUCUUUGCUUUUUACAAAUCAUGAGCUUAGAAAAACUAUCGGCCCACAGACAAGCUGGUGGGUGGCUCAAGUACUCCAAAUGAGAGCUUUAAACUCGCAAAGUGCCUAAGACAGUGCCCCCCCACACAAGAAACAUUCAUGAAGAACCAGCUGACAUUCCCGCUGCUGCUGAACCAGCUUUGGCUCCACUACUUACCGUGUGAUUGGCAGGCAACCACGCCUGGCUUUCCCAGCCUGUUGUGCUCACCGAAAUAACACUUUACAAUUAAUUUCUCAGCGAAAUACAAAUAAUUAGUAACUGUAGGCAAAUAACACAUUUACUUUAAGGUUGUUUGAAGAUUAAAACUGACAGGUGUCACUGGAAACAGUACAUGAAAACCACAAAAUGACUUUCAAAUGCAAGGCUCCAGGCUGAUAAUCACUCUACACUGAUGACUUCAGGCAUCACUCAGAGUGACUGCUGUCCCUGAGGAUGACUUCAGAUGACCUGACAUCUCCCUGAAGCUUCGUCCUACUCCCCACUUCUUAUGAGUGGAAAGAAUACAUCAGAUGGGGACUACUAUGUAGGAAAAGGGAAAGAUGUCAACGAUUGAGUCAAUGCAGAAGCAACCAUGUAAAUCAGCAGACCAGACAUCUAAGGCAGUGGUCCAGAUGUGGACUGGGAUAAGAACAGGGAGACAAACCCCUAGACAACCCCAGGUCAGUUGGGUUCUUUAAAUUACAAGAGUGAACAAAGCCAAACACAAAAGAAAUCCUACCCAAGGGGAGCUGAAGUUCUCACAGCUACACCUGCAACUGUCUUGGUGACGGGACCUUUACCUUAUGACAAUGACAACAUAAUAAGGACAAAAUGCAAAUUAAACUAUAACUGGAUGCAACUCACACCCAAUGCAGUCAGCUCACCUUGUGGGAGGUCUCGGGAGGCGUCCAGAAGGGGCAUGUGUGUCUUGUGUGAUGGAUGAAAGGAAAGAAUCUGCACUUCACAUGGAGAGUGAACUCAAGCCUGUGCGCUCAAGAGAGCUCUUGGUCCACAUGGUCAGGUCGUGGCCAGUAGUAAGCCACACCGAUAUAUACCCACAGGGUCUCGCCAUGAAAGGCACCCCAGAAAGGAGGAAGCCUGGCCAAGGACAGAUUCUUACUUUCCUGGGGUCCUGUGGGAGAUCUGAGCUAGUAGGGCAGCCCAUCUCUGAACUAUGCCCCUGCUCCUACAUCCCCUGGAAUGUGGGGUCUGUGCAGAGAAGCAGAGUCAACACCUCCUGCCUGUAUGGAAGCUGUUCCAUGUCACAUAUUCAAGGUGCCAAACGAUACUGAUUGCCUCCCUGAAAACUCUGCUGCUGGUGAAUUCCCGUUUCAGAUGCAUCGUUAACAUCUCCUGUCACUUCACUGCCAUCAGACAUCAUUUCCCCCCAGAUCUGCAGUCACCAAGACAAUCAUCUUAUUCUUAAAGUCCCAUGCAUCUUUGCACUCAUACUCCUAUUACCAUCUUUUCUCCAGAGCACAGAUAUUGCUUUGGAAUUAGCGGUCCUCACCAGUCUAUCCUCCCCAACACUAAUUCACACCCUCCAAUCCCUUUGAAGCGAUUUUGUUAGAUUAAUGCUCUAAAAAUAUAUUUUUUUAAAGUGCUGGGAACUGAACCCACAACCACAUGUGUGCAAAAUACACACUCAACCAUUAUACCUCUUGCCCUAAAACUUUACUGCUGGAACUGCUGUCACCACUGUCUAAUUAUGUGGCCUCUUUUUCCCCAAAAUAAAACCAAAAUUUUAAACAGA